GGCUCUUUUGUUGUAAGUUAGAUGGUAGAUAGGUUUCUGGUAUCAUGGUAUAUAAUGAUUUUAUUGCUUUUGUGAAAUUUUGAUUGCUGUUGGGUUUUGUUAAUUUUUGAUCAUGGCUGAGCCUUGCUGGGGCAGGGGUGCAUCAUAAAUACAAUGUACUCAGUUUUGCCCUCAUCCCAGACAUGAAAGCAUCCAAGUCCCCACCCUCCACCCCCUUUCACACCAAGCUAACCUGGUGGCAGUGACAUUCCAUCAUUGGUCACUGGUGGUGGACUCUGGGGCACACACCAUUUCAGAUUCCCCUCUAUGCCAGAGAAAGAGCCACCUAUAAGUUACUGCUUGGAGCUUCAUGGAGAACUAAAUAUUCUCUUUCUACUAUCCCCACCAGGUCCUUCACUUAAAUCUCUCAUGUCUCAGAGCAAUAUUGUUUCAGGCACUGGCAUUUAAAUGGAGACUUAGUCCAUUGACAACUUAUUCACACCCAGAACAGGCACAAACAAAUGUAAGGUUGUGCAUAAUGGGGUGGAGGAGGAGAGAAAGCAGGAGCUGUAAACCGUGAACAUCUGCAUGGCCAGAGAUUCUCCAAUCCCAAGAGGACAGUGGCAUUUUCUUUGUGAAUUAUGGCAUUCCCAUAUGCCUGUAGAAGAAACUGGGAUGAUUAAUGCAUACGAGGGUUUAAUAUCGUGGCAAAGAGGUGAAAAUGGGAUUCCUUCUCAGCCACAGCUGUGGCUCAGUUACAGACUGAAGCACCGUCUACCUAAUGAAAAAUCCACAGCUGUUAUUCCAUGCACUCAGAUGCCUGAUCCACUCUUUUUCUUCUCUUUGUCCCAACACCACCAUUUCCUAUGUAAUAUCUUCAAGGAGUAGUGUUCUCUGGGUUCCUCCCAUGCAGCUGUAUUAAGACCACUUCUGUCCAUGGAAAAUUCACAGCUUCCACCACACUACCUACCUGACUGCAUGGAUAUUAAAUAUAUCAGCAGGGGCUGCAUCCACAGGGCUGCAGGAAGAAGGAUACUCCAUUACAGAUCUCAAGGUAGCUGCUUUGGAACAACAAAACUACACCAGCACUACAGAGCGAGAGGUUGCUGAACUCACAUCAAAAUUUUCAGAUUCUCUCAGAAGGUCUCAGCAAACACAGUGGGGGAAUCUUUAACGCCCUGUGGACAUCUCUCACUCAUGGAAGAUUGGCCUCAACAUACUUUAAACAUGUCCAAAUCGAUUAUCGUAUGCUCCACAGAACUCCAACUUCGAAGAACAGAGUAAUUUUUAUCAUCGUUUCAUAGAUCCUGCAGUUGAGCUAGAAAUAAUGCUCUCUUGGGGAUUGCUGAUGUCAUGGGAGAUCUUCAGGGAAAAGAGUCAGACUGUAGAAGAGCCUUCGCAGCUGGCAGAUCUGAUAGACUAUAAUUCCCAUCCUUCCCAGCCAACAAUAGUCAAAGCAGUCCACAGACUGCCUGGGCAUAAAAAAAUGGCCUACAGCGGGGGUUCCUAAACUUUUUGCCAUCACACCUCCUUUUAGUGUAAUCUUAAUGUACACACAAAGUUCUCAGCUGUUUCAUGAGAGCCAGAGGUAGGUGGUGGCUAAGAGUCAGAGUCAAAGGCUCUGCUUACGUGACAUGUAUACUCACGGUUAAGUACUCUGUGGUUUCUUCAAUUAACUCAGUUUUCAUGGUUAAAGUGUCAUGGAGAACCAUAAACUAACCACAAACUAUAUGGGGUGGAUUUGAACAAUAGACUGGUUGAUCUGGUUUGUGGUUCAUUCCGUCAUGCAUAUAUAGCUGAUGGUUGUUCACUCAAGGGGAAGAAGAGAAAAGCAGGUUUUUGCAUGUGCCUUGUCUUGACUGAGAAUGAGCAGGAAAGGGUAGAGUUUUUAGCAGGUUUCCAACCCCUGGGAUUUCCUGGUGGUAUUCCAUCCAAAUAUUAGCCAUAUCUUUGUGAGAUGUACCUUCCUUCGUCUUACGACUUCUACUGCAGUACUGAUUCCCCUAUAAUAAUCCACAGAGCUUAUAGUAUUCUAAAUUUCUCUUAAUUAGCUCCUUUUCUUCAUUGGAGAGGGGGCACUUCUUGGCGAUUUUCUCCCAUUGUUACUGUUUUGUUAAAUAGCAUGUCCAAAAAAAAGGAAAAAAUAAUGAAAGAAAAUCAUUAAAAUAUGCCUGGGGAAACAGAUGCUAGAUAAUUAAGGGGUAAUUAAUAAGUAACAAGGACCAAUGAAUAAGUAAAUAAGUAAACUAGUCCAACACAUCUGGAGGGCAUCAAGUUGAGGAAGCGCUGUAGAAAAUAAAGAAUUUGAUGUAUAAUAGGACAUUGAAAACAAGGAUAUUCAAUUUUGGGGGGCCAAAUAAGCUGCACCCUGAAAAAUAAUAGGUGGUACAA
Python bivittatus (Burmese python) is the source of this 2370-nucleotide long non-coding RNA. RefSeq lists it as uncharacterized. NCBI's taxonomy places the organism in Eukaryota, Metazoa, Chordata, Lepidosauria, Squamata, Pythonidae. The record is from RefSeq and is a predicted model, not a curated record.